Molecule: unclassified non-coding RNA, 240 nt
Filed under: soil metagenome
Description: partial contains 5.8S ribosomal RNA, internal transcribed spacer 2, and large subunit ribosomal RNA
Source: RNAcentral
AACUGAUACUACCUGCGGGAACCUGCGGAAGGAUCAUUAUUGAGUUUUGAAGUGGGCUUGAUGCUGGCGAUUGCAUGUGCUCAGCCCCGCUCUCAAAUCCUUUCAACACCUGUGCACUUUCAAAGUUGUAGUCCUCCUUCAUUGGAGCCGUGGGUUGUAAUGACCUGCUGGGACUUGCACUUUGCCAAUUUAUCACAAACUAUUUACAAUGUCUUGUAGAAUGUGUUAGCCUUUGAUUAG